GACGAACGCUGGCGGCGUGCCUAACACAUGCAAGUCGAACGGGGCCCGCAAGGGUUCAGUGGCGGACGGGUGCGUAACACGUGAAGAACAUGUCUUUCGGUGGGGGAGUAGCCGGCCCAACGGCCGGGUAAUACCGCAUACGCUGUUCGGGGCGUCAUGCCCUGAAUCGGAAAGCAGCAAUGCGCCGAUAGAGUGCUUCGCGGCCUAUCG
RNAcentral lists this ribosomal RNA (210 nucleotides) under uncultured bacterium. RNAcentral describes it as "partial 16S ribosomal RNA". It matches the Rfam family "Bacterial small subunit ribosomal RNA", at positions 28 to 243 of the family's 1533-position model. The record is from RNAcentral.